Vicia villosa (hairy vetch) is the source of this 731-nucleotide long non-coding RNA. RefSeq lists it as uncharacterized. The transcript is spliced from 2 exons. The record is from RefSeq and is a predicted model, not a curated record. Lineage: Eukaryota; Viridiplantae; Streptophyta; Magnoliopsida; Fabales; Fabaceae.
CCUCUCCCUCAUACUACCCUGCUUCGGUCCAAACAAUUCCCCUGUUCUUCUUCAUCUUCUCUUACACUCAGCUCUUUCUCUCCACCGAUUCUCUACUCUCAGACAUGAAUAGAACAAAACAAAACCUCUCAACCUCGCAUCUCUCGCACGCUCGAUACUCUCUCUUUUUGGCUUCGUUUUCAUAAACACAGUAAACCAGAUGCAAAGUAAAAGCAAGCCAACAAUAUACCCUAAUCCCAGCAAAAGCCCUAACCCUUUACAUUAUGUUCGUCAGAGUUACAAACUACACGAUUGAAACACAGAGAAAAAAGGAUAAUACCUGUAUACUGCAACAACAAAACAAAAACAGAAAUCGAAGAAGAUGAACAGAGCCCAGGUUGUGGAUGUCCAUAUAGGUGCAAGCUUUGGAGUGAUUAGAGCAGCAGAGAUGCAGAUUUUUGUUGUUUUACAUUGCUGUAAUUUUUUAACAUAUUGUGGAGCAGGUUUUGGAACAGAGAUGUGGACUGGUUAUAGCAGGAUGUGGGAUAGCAGGGUUGGAAUGUAGUGCUUGUAGUUUUUGGGGCAGGGUAUAGGAGCAGAGGCGGAAAAGGACAGCAUUCUUGGACAGUGUCAAAGAUAAGAUGGCGUGGGACACAUGAAGAGAACCAUUUUUUUUUAUUUCUGUAUUGUUCUAAAAAAAAUUGUAAAAUGGACUUUUAAUGUGAAAUGGGCCUAACCCAAAUUCACACAAA